UACGAGAUGUGCAAGCGUUGUUCGGAUUUACUGGGCAUAAAGGGUGCGUAGGCGGUUUGGUAAGUCAGUGGUGAAAUACCUCGGCUCAACCGGGGAAUUGCCUCUGAUACUGCCAGGCUUGAGAGUGAAAGGGGCAAGCGGAAUUCCAGGUGUAGCGGUGGAAUGCGUAGAUAUCUGGGAGAACGCCGAUGGCGAAGGCAGCUUGCUGGGUCACUUCUGACGCUGAGGCACGAAAGCUAGGGGAGCAAACAGG
This 253-nucleotide ribosomal RNA is filed under the name uncultured bacterium. RNAcentral's name for it is "partial 16S ribosomal RNA". It matches the Rfam family "Bacterial small subunit ribosomal RNA", at positions 524 to 776 of the family's 1533-position model. The record is from RNAcentral.